UAGGUCAGAACUAGCCUUGAGCCAGUUCCUUCCUUAUCAGCUCACCAGUAGGUCUCCCAUAGAAGUCUCUAAGUAGAAAGCAAGUUCCACCAGCUGCCCUUCCCUGUGAGUCAUAGGUGUGUCUUGUGAAUCUUAAUGAUCCUUCCAGGAGGAUCCUCCUUAGAACACAAAGCAGGAAGGAUUCAGGUAUCUUUUGCUAUGAAAGAGGUACAUUUCUUCUCCUCCUCCCUAGUUUAAUGAUUUUCAUACAUAUUUCAUG
Molecule: long non-coding RNA, 259 nt
Filed under: Bos taurus (domestic cattle)
Lineage: Eukaryota; Metazoa; Chordata; Mammalia; Artiodactyla; Bovidae
Description: long non-coding RNA NONBTAT022224
Source: RNAcentral